UCGAUUUGGGAGUAUUUGUUGGGGAUUUGGCUUUAGAUGAGGAUGACAGCAGGGAUGACAUAUCACUUGAAGGUCUACAAGAGCAGCUAGAAGAAUGCAAGAAUGACAAUGAAGUGGCGAAUAUACUUUCUAAAGGUACCAAACUACGGGAGUACACAAAAGGAGUAGAGAACAAUGUUCGACAAGUCGAAUUGGACUCGAUUCAGGAUUACAUUAAAGAGAGUGAUAACUUAGUUUUAUUGCACGACCAAAUCCGUGACUGUGACAGUAUCUUAUCACAAAUGGAAACUCUUCUAAGUGGAUUUCAGGAUGAGAUUGGUUCUAUAAGUUCAGA
This 334-nucleotide unclassified non-coding RNA is filed under the name Hevea brasiliensis (rubber tree). The record is from RNAcentral. Lineage: Eukaryota; Viridiplantae; Streptophyta; Magnoliopsida; Malpighiales; Euphorbiaceae.